RNAcentral lists this ribosomal RNA (301 nucleotides) under uncultured bacterium. RNAcentral describes it as "partial 16S ribosomal RNA". It matches the Rfam family "Bacterial small subunit ribosomal RNA", at positions 509 to 809 of the family's 1533-position model. The record is from RNAcentral.
CAGCCGCCACGGUAAUACGUAGGGUGCGAGCGUUAAUCGGAAUUACUGGGCGUAAAGCGUGCGCAGGCGGUUGUGUAAGACAGGUGUGAAAUCCCCGGGCUUAACCUGGGAACUGCGCUUGUGACUGCACAGCUAGAGUAUGGCAGAGGGGGGUGGAAUUCCACGUGUAGCAGUGAAAUGCGUAGAGAUGUGGAGGAACACCGAUGGCGAAGGCAGCCCCCUGGGCCAAUACUGACGCUCAUGCACGAAAGCGUGGGGAGCAAACAGGAUUAGAUACCCCUGUAGUCCCUGUCUCUUAUAA